Molecule: ribosomal RNA, 254 nt
Filed under: uncultured bacterium
Lineage: Bacteria
Description: partial 16S ribosomal RNA
Rfam family: Bacterial small subunit ribosomal RNA
Source: RNAcentral
UACGUAGGGUGCAAGCGUUGUCCGGAAUUAUUGGGCGUAAAGAGCUCGUAGGCGGUUUGUCGCGUCGGCUGUGAAAACCCGGGGCUCAACCCCGGGCCUGCAGUCGAUACGGGCAAGACUAGAGUGCGGUAGGGGAGACUGGAAUUCCUGGUGUAGCGGUGAAAUGCGCAGAUAUCAGGAGGAACACCGGUGGCGAAGGCGGGUCUCUGGGCCGUAACUGACGCUGAGGAGCGAAAGCGUGGGGAGCGAACAGG